AGUGAACGCUGGCGGUAGGCCUAACACAUGCAAGUCGAACGGCAGCACAGUAAGAGCUUGCUCUUACGGGUGGCGAGUGGCGGACGGGUGAGGAAUACAUCGGAAUCUACUUUUUCGUGGGGGAUAACGUAGGGAGACUUACGCUAAUACCGCAUACGACCUACGGGUGAAAGCAGGGGAUCUUCGGACCUUGCGCGAUUGAAUGAGCCGAUGUCGGAUUAGCUAGUUGGCGGGGUAAAGGCCACCAAGGCGACGAUCCGUAGCUGGUCUGAGAGGAUGAUCAGCCACACUGGAACUGAGACACGGUCCAGACUCCUACGGGAGGCAGCAGUGGGGAAUAUUGGACAAUGGGCGCAAGCCUGAUCCAGCCAUACCGCGUGGGUGAAGAAGGCCUUCGGGUUGUAAAGCCCUUUUGUUGGGAAAGAAAAGCAGCAGGUUAAUACCCCGCUGUUCUGACGGUACCCAAAGAAUAAGCACCGGCUAACUUCGUG
RNAcentral lists this ribosomal RNA (491 nucleotides) under uncultured bacterium. RNAcentral's name for it is "partial 16S ribosomal RNA". It matches the Rfam family "Bacterial small subunit ribosomal RNA", at positions 29 to 507 of the family's 1533-position model. The record is from RNAcentral.